AUCUGGGUCCUUGGUGACAUAACUGAGCCUCUGAUUUGACCAACCCUGCAGCUGACCUUAACAGAGCUGGGGUUUUCAGUUGUUUCCACCAAAAAGCAUCAUAACUGAUAAUAUUGCUCCAGUGAACCCCUUCAGGAUAGACAGCCAUCAUUGAGGUUGCCCUUAGUACCUAGCACGGUGUUGGGCACACAGUAACUGCUUGUUUGCUAAAACUGGGGAGGGAAGGAAAGCAGAGGAAAGUUCUAGGAACUGAAGUAAACUCUCUUCAUAUAUAGAUAUGACUUGCUUUGUUAAACCCAACUUAUCGACACCUGGGUUUACUAUAAUUAUGAUAGCUCAAGAGAGAUUUCUCAAUUUAUAAAAGGAUGUGUAUUUUUACCAUGGAUUACUUUAACUAUGUUCCCUACUAUAAAGUCCUCAUACCAAACUCAGAGGGAACUGAGUCAAUCAACAUCCUUAUAUUCCCCCACAGCUUUCUGUUGCACCACCAAAGAAGUGUUAGAAAUUCUGCAGAUUCUUCAAAGAAGUUUCCCCUGAUCUUCCUCUACCUGCAUAGUACUUGUGGUGAAAUAAGCCUCACUGUCCUGUUUCAUCAAGAAAAGACACAUCAGUAGUGGGGAAUUCCCUGGCGGUCCAGUGGUUAGGACUCGGCACUGUCACUGCUGGGGCCCGGGUUCAAUCCCUGGUCGGGGAACUAAGAUCCCGCAAGCCGCAUGGCCAAAAUAAAUAAAGAAAUAAAUAAAUGAAAUAAAAUCUCUUCUUCCAUUCCCUUAAACAUA
Molecule: long non-coding RNA, 779 nt
Organism: Lagenorhynchus albirostris (white-beaked dolphin)
Lineage: Eukaryota; Metazoa; Chordata; Mammalia; Artiodactyla; Delphinidae
Exons: 3
Source: RefSeq, a predicted model, not a curated record